GGUGCGGGCUGGAGUGUCGUGACAGCGAGGGCGACGGUGGCACCGAGGCCGGCCGUGGGUAGCGGUACCCUUGGGCCUGCAUACGGGAAUAUGGGUGCAAACCAGGGUGAGCUGAGGACCUCGCAGUCCCACCCAGGCAUCCAGCCACCUCUAGGCCUUCCCAUUCCAGGAGGGACCCCCAGCCCUUUAGCUCCUGGCUAAGCAGAAAUCCAGCGUCCACUCACCGCAUCUGCCUCGCUGGGCUCGUAGGUGAAGUGCUCUGGAAAGGCCUUGGACAGCGCCAUGUGGCGCGCAGACAUAUAGUACUAGGGGAAAGGAGGGGAGGGGGCAGAGGAUGUGAGAGCCAGGCCCCACCCCCAGGCAGAUGAUGGGGCUCCUGGCCAUACCCUUUAUGCAGAUGAGCAUACCCUGCUGCACCAUUGGGCCUGCCCCAUGCAAAUAAUCCAUCUGACUCCACCCCUUAUGUAAAUAAGCAGAUCUAUGAAUGGAUAGUUUCUAAGCCACACCCCUCAAACAGGGGCCGAAUUCUCAAGUCAGGCACCUCUUUGGCCAUACCUUUAUGCAAAUGAGAAUGCCUGACCAAUGUUCUUUUUUUCUUUUUAAACAGGGUCUUGCUCUGUUACCCUAGGAUGGAGUGCAGUGGGGUUGAUCAAGGCUCACUGCAGCCUCAACCUCCAGGGCUCAAGAGACUCUACCACCUCAGCCUCCCCAGUAGCUGGGACUACAGGCACGCACCACCACACUCGGCUGAUUUUUUUUUAAAUUUUUAGUAGAAAGAAAACGUUGCCCAGGAUGGUCUCUUAACUCCUGAGCUCAAGCGAUCCUCCCUGUUAGGCCUCCCAAAGUGCUGGGAUUACAGGGAUGAGCCACCACCGCGAUCGGCCUGGUUCAUUGCUUAAAGGGACAGCAACUGUUACAAGUAGGAUGAGACCCUUCACCCUGCACCAAAGACCCAGAGCCAGGAGCGGCUGAUUCCCCAGAAGAGGGUGAAGAAGCUCCCUGCUUCCCCUUCUGCCACGACUGAGUUUCCUGAGGCCUCCCCAGCCAUGUGGAACUCCCAGGCCUCACUCUGAGCAGAUAGUUGAGCCGGGCCAAGGCCUCCAGGAAGACGUCGGCACCCUUGUUGGAGAACUCAUAGCGGCCGGCGAUAAAGAAGUACAAGGUCUUGUCCAAGUUGAAGUCCAGAUGCCUAAAGAACCCACAAGGCAUGGUAAAGCCCAAAGCCCUCACCCGCUAGCCCUGGCCUCAAAACUACAAAU
Non-coding RNA from Macaca mulatta (Rhesus monkey), 1259 nucleotides. Lineage: Eukaryota; Metazoa; Chordata; Mammalia; Primates; Cercopithecidae. The record is from RefSeq and is a predicted model, not a curated record.